This 504-nucleotide long non-coding RNA is filed under the name Rattus norvegicus (Norway rat). RNAcentral's name for it is "long non-coding RNA NONRATT027486". Lineage: Eukaryota; Metazoa; Chordata; Mammalia; Rodentia; Muridae. The record is from RNAcentral.
GACUCCUUUCUGGGGCCUCUUCUUCCAUCGGGCUGCAAUGACAGGGGCAUGGAGGGCUCAAGGGAGACAGGAGGUUUGCCCAAGCUGGCGAGGGUCUGCGCCUACAGGUCCAUGGCUGUGGGUCGCUGUGGGCGGUGCGGCAGGGGGCGCGGCGCUGCUGGCCGCAGGGGCCGGCCUGGCCUUCUACGUGCAGUCCACCGCUUGCAAGAAGGGAGAGUACAACGUCCAGGAGGCUGAGAGCUCAGGCGAGGCGGUGUGUCUCAAUGGCGCGGGCGGGACACCGGGUGCAGAAGGCGGAGCAGAGACCCCCGGCACUGCCGAGUCACCUGCAGAUGGCGAGGUUUUCGCCAUCCAGCUGACAUCUUCCUGAGCCUGUAUCCAGCUCCCCCAGGGGCCUCGAAAGCACAGGGGUGGACGUAUGUAUUGUUCACUCUCUAUUUAUUCAACUCCAGGGGCGUCGUCCCCGUUUUCUACCCAUUCCCUUAAUAAAGUUUUUAUAAAGGA